RNAcentral lists this ribosomal RNA (216 nucleotides) under Glomeromycotina sp. RNAcentral describes it as "partial small subunit ribosomal RNA". The stretch from base 40 to 216 matches the Rfam family "Eukaryotic small subunit ribosomal RNA", at positions 686 to 864 of the family's 1831-position model. The record is from RNAcentral. Lineage: Eukaryota; Fungi; Glomeromycota.
GGGUCAGUAGGUUGGUCGUGCCACCGGUACGUACUGGUCUCACUGUUUCCUCCUUCCUGAAGAACCGUAAUGCCAUUAAUUUGGUGUUGCGGGGAAACAGGACUGUUACUUUGAAAAAAUUAGAGUGUUUAAAGCAAGCUAACGCUUGAAUACAUUAGCAUGGAAUAAUGAAAUAGUACGAUCGAUCCUAUUUUGUUGGUUUCUAGGAUUGACUUA